Molecule: ribosomal RNA, 301 nt
Filed under: uncultured bacterium
Lineage: Bacteria
Description: partial 16S ribosomal RNA
Rfam family: Bacterial small subunit ribosomal RNA
Source: RNAcentral
CAGUAGCCACGGGAAUACGUAGGUGGCAAGCAUUGUCCGGAAUUAUUGGGCGUAAAGGGCUCGCAGGCGGUUUCUUAAGUCUGAUGUGAAAGCCCCCGGCUCAACCGGGGAGGGUCAUUGGAAACUGGGAAACUUGAGUGCAGAAGAGGAGAGUGGAAUUCCACGUGUAGCGGUGAAAUGCGUAGAGAUGUGGAGGAACACCAGUGGCGAAGGCGACUCUCUGGUCUGUAACUGACGCUGAGGAGCGAAAGCGUGGGGAGCGAACAGGAUUAGAUACCCCAGUAGUCCCUGUCUCUUAUAC